This 549-nucleotide ribosomal RNA is filed under the name Citrobacter europaeus. RNAcentral describes it as "bacterial SSU rRNA". It matches the Rfam family "Bacterial small subunit ribosomal RNA", at positions 1 to 541 of the family's 1533-position model. Lineage: Bacteria; Pseudomonadati; Pseudomonadota; Gammaproteobacteria; Enterobacterales; Enterobacteriaceae. The record is from RNAcentral.
AAAUUGAAGAGUUUGAUCAUGGCUCAGAUUGAACGCUGGCGGCAGGCCUAACACAUGCAAGUCGAACGGUAGCACAGAGAGCUUGCUCUUGGGUGACGAGUGGCGGACGGGUGAGUAAUGUCUGGGAAACUGCCCGAUGGAGGGGGAUAACUACUGGAAACGGUAGCUAAUACCGCAUAACGUCGCAAGACCAAAGAGGGGGACCUUCGGGCCUCUUGCCAUCGGAUGUGCCCAGAUGGGAUUAGCUAGUAGGUGGGGUAACGGCUCACCUAGGCGACGAUCCCUAGCUGGUCUGAGAGGAUGACCAGCCACACUGGAACUGAGACACGGUCCAGACUCCUACGGGAGGCAGCAGUGGGGAAUAUUGCACAAUGGGCGCAAGCCUGAUGCAGCCAUGCCGCGUGUAUGAAGAAGGCCUUCGGGUUGUAAAGUACUUUCAGCGAGGAGGAAGGCAUUAAGGUUAAUAACCUUGGUGAUUGACGUUACUCGCAGAAGAAGCACCGGCUAACUCCGUGCCAGCAGCCGCGGUAAUACGGAGGGUGCAAGCGU